Molecule: transfer RNA, 60 nt
Filed under: Trichuris suis (pig whipworm)
Lineage: Eukaryota; Metazoa; Nematoda; Enoplea; Trichinellida; Trichuridae
Description: tRNA-Asp
Source: RNAcentral
AAAGAUUUAGUUUAUUCUAUCUAUUGUAAUAUUAAAACAUUGAAUUGUCGAUUCAAAGAA